UGGGUGUACUCAGUGAGCCUCCAUGUUGGACACAAGCUCAAAUGUAAUAAGUGUGGAUGUGGAUGGUAGGAUUUGGGUUUAUCCUAUGGGGAGAGCACAUGGUUUUCAAACCUAUGCCUAAAUUAAGCUCCAUUUCCACCUGGUUUUGGUUUCCGACGCAUUUUGGUUUCACCAAACUAUCUUCUAGGGACAAUGUCUGUAGCAAUUGGGCUCUUCUUCUUCACUAGCAAUUGAGCUGACAGUAUCAUUCAUGGGAGAAACAGUCCCUCUUCAGCUUCUGUAGGAAAUGACGAGAGACUCUGAAAUGUGAACAUUGAAGGGGUUCAGAAGCUGUGGAGGUCAAAGUAGAGUUUGAGGGGCAGAGCGGUUGGGUCACUACCAAGCUGCCAGAUAUACCUUCAUCCAGGAACAAUUCUCAGGAUAAAAGAGAAUUUUUCUGGCUGGGGAAGGGAACUUGUUCUGUUUGACAAAGUGGUAACAUGGCUAGUGGAACAAAUUCUGUUCUUCCAUUCUAAAUGUGAUUCCUUUGAUUGUGGCAUUCCUGGAAGUUGAUCACAAGCUGCAAUAUCUUAAUAUCUUGCAGAAAAUAUAGAAACUAUUAUCAUUGAUAAGAAUGAAUGGGGAGAUAAAUAAUUAACAAAUCCAUAUAGAGUAUCUGAAAUUGUUCAUUGAAUAUAUCAUACUGAAAUUGGAAGUGGGCUUUUUGAGUGGAAUAUUAAGAAUGCAGAUUAUUCCUGAAAAAAAAAAACAAAAACAAAAACAAAAACAACAUUAUUUUAUAUACCAAGUGCAAUGAUAUUUUUCCAACACAAGAAUGAUUCAUAGUUCACAGAAGUUGUUUUUAUUUUUUUUGGAUUUUGGAUUUUUUUAGGGAUUUGGGUGUUUUCAAUUAAAAUGUGAAUUUAAUUUAUUUUUUAAAAAUUGCAUUGAAUGUUUAAAACCUAAGCAAUAUUGCAUGGCCAACAAGUUUAUUAACACAUAGAAUUUUUAUAACUAUUUAUCAAACAUGUUUAUUUUUGUUUGAAUAUAUUUAAAAUGAAAAUAACAUUCUAACUGUAAAUUCAACUGUUAAAAUUGGAAAAGUUUCAUACAGUCUUUACUAGACAGUGAAGAUUUUUAUUUUUAAAAUAUAUUACUACGUUUGAUAAAAUAACAUAAUUAAAAUCAUGAUGUUUAACAAGCCUAACAAGACUUAUCAUAUAUUCUAUUCAUAAGUUUGAAUUCAUCUUAUAGAGCUGCUUCUCUGUGUUUAAGAUUAUGUUCUAAUAAUUUAAUCUUAAAAAAAUAAAAACUAAAACACUACAAAAUUAAUUAUGCAGGACGUAAGAAUUUAUCAACACCAGAUGCUACCAAUUAACAAAGUAAAACAUCAUGAAAAAAAUUUAAAAAUAACUUUGUGCAUAAUUUGUCAAAAUACUACAAAGACAAAUAAGAUGCUUGAUGAAUUACUUGAAAGAUCAUAAGGUGGUGUAAGUGGUAUUGAGGCUUCAUUGACAAUGAUCUCUAUCUAGUUGUGAGUCAGUAAAGUGAUCAUAAAUGUAAAGAAAUAUCUUACGUGUUUAUCAGCAAUAAUAAUAGGGCAUUGUGUUAUUAUUACCACAUUGAAUGUGAUAACCUCAUGAAUCACCAAGUAAAGUCAUUGAAUUCCUUAAGCAUUUCCAUCCAUGGCAUAUAAAGCAGGCUCACCAGAAUCAUUUGUUUGUUAGAAGAUAAUUUUCCAAGGCCCUUUGUUGUGAACAAGCUACUUAAUGGUGUAUAAAACUGAUAAUCUUGUCAGUAUUUGUUAUCAAGAAAACUCAUCUUGAAAUAAAAAAAAUUAUCAUUCUUUCACAUAG
This 1835-nucleotide long non-coding RNA is filed under the name Physcomitrium patens. RNAcentral's name for it is "long non-coding RNA (PPAT_LNC011612)". Lineage: Eukaryota; Viridiplantae; Streptophyta; Bryopsida; Funariales; Funariaceae. The record is from RNAcentral.